UUUAAGCAUCGUCUUCUAUCAUCUCCACAUCUGCGAGCUGCACUGCCCCCAAAGACUUUGAUUUCUGCCUUACUCUUCCAUUUCAUUUUCCUUCAUUUUUCCACUUUUCUCUCAGCUCAAAAGAAAGAAAAAAAAAAGCAUCUCUGUUGGUUUAUUUUCGUUGGCUUCUACUUUCCUAAUCUUCUUUUAUCUCAGAAAAAAAAACAAAAAAAUUGUUCUCUUAAAUUACUUGUUUUAUCCCUGCUACUCUUCCUUUCCUUAAUUUUGGUUUCCCCAUCUCCGGAGUUGGUGAAGUAAUUCCAUAAGAAUUAAGAUCCAUCUGAAUUAAGGUAAGCUUCAAUAAAAUAUAUUAUAUUUUCGGUAAUAUAAUUUUUUUAUAUGCUCAAUUUCUCUUAUUAUUUAUUUGGCUUCUUGAUUUAUUCAAUGGAUAGAUAAAAUUGAGAGUUUAUCUUUGAUGCAUCGACAAUAUAUAAUUUUUAUACAAUAUCAAUUCACCACAAUGCAGCAUCUCGUUAAGAAGUAAAAAUAGUAGAAUCAAAUUAAAAGAUAAUUGACAUAAUACCUAAAAAAGCCUUGAAACUAUUUUAAAAAAUUCAACUAAUUUUUUUUUUUUUUUGCCUAUGAUCUAGACUUUAUAUUAUAAUUAAUAGUUGAUUAAUUAUUUUUAAUUAAAAUGUCAAUUGUAAUGCUAAGUGAAAAGAUAUAAUAAAAUAUAAAUAGAUAUUUAAAAUUUUGAAAAAUAUUUUAUAGGUGGAUAUAUUAUCUUUUUACCCUAUCAUGUUAGAUAUAUGAGUGUGAUUAAUUUCAGAGGAAUUGAUAUGACCUUCCAGAAAUUGAACUACACAAUUAUGAAUGUGGCUCCCAAGCUUAUGCCAAUAUUUCUGGUAGACUUACGCAAGUAUCCCAUUUGGUCCAGAAGCCUUUGUAGAGUGCAUUAGGAACAAAGCACUCUUCAGUUCCUCCACUGAAAUACUAGCAUUUAAAUCAACAUUCAUCUAGUCCGUUAUUUUUUACCGUAUUCCAAACAAGGCUGCGUCUAUCUGUAAUUGACCUGAAGAAAAAAACAAGCCAAUGAAAAAGUCAUUAAUAAUCGAACUCAAUUCACUUGCGAAAUCUGUCCAUUCAUCAUUCUCUUUCUUCAAAGCUCAAAUGGUGUUUUUCCUCCUCCUCUCCUUUGCUGUUCCAAGGAAGAACUUGGUGUUCUUGUCACCUUUUUUCAACCAUGUUACCCUAGAUCUCUGUUUCCACAUCAUCUCUUCCACUUUUACCAAUUGAUUGAUCUAAUUUUGAACAAUUUUAAUUUUUAAAGAGUAGCCAGUUCUUUCAUAAAACUGUUGUAGUUCUAUUCUUUUUCACUUCAUUUGCUUCUCAUCUCCUGUAUAGAUUUAGUUUAUUUUAGUUAUUAUUUUUUGCAAUAUUUUUAUCAUAAAUUUUACUUAAUAUGAUUCAUGUGCAUAUUGGACAUUCCAUAGUAUAAAUGUGUUGUGAAAAUUGCCCAAGAAUCAACAAAGAUAAAACUCAGAGAAAUUAAGUAAACAGAAAAAUAUAAGAAUUUAUGUGGUUCGACCUCUUGUCUACGUCCACGGAAUAAAACUGUUCUUCUAUUAUUGAGAAUUUAAAGUACAAUAAAUUCAUCUUUAUGGUUCCCCAAACCAACCCAAGAUUCCUUGCACACUCUUCUUCAAUAACCUCACAAGAACACUCACCCAAACCACUUUCGCUCCACCUAGAGCAAAAGACAGAAUUACAAAAUGUUUCCUCUCUAGAGCUCUCAAAGCACUACUUGCAAUUCUAAAGCCUAAAAAUCUACUUUUAUAGUAUAAAAGUUCAAAGUAGAAUGUGAUUAGGAUUCGAUGUGGAAUAAAAAGUUUAAAACUAUACAACUACUCAAUGUUAUACACAAACAAAAAAUCCUAAACAAAUAAGAUUUAGAAUUCUAGUCAACCUGAAACUCAACAAAUCUUCACAUUUGACUUGAAUUCAAACUUCUUAAACCUCUUCCACUAGUCGCACCUAAUUGCAACUUCCUAACUCCACUUACUUUCCAACACCUUGGACAACUCUCCAAGCAUAAGACUUUUUAAAUCAUUAGCCUUUAUAAUUACCACGACUUCACAUACUGAAUCAAGUAUGGUCCAACACUGGAUUCUACAAAACAGCCAAUGCACCUGUGUAGCCGUCAAGUCAAUGGCACUAAUUAACUUCGGAAAGGGACCUUGACGACCCUUCCAAUUCACUACUGGUAAGAUUUUUCAUCCUUUCACCAUCAUCUACACCAUGGGAAUCUUUCAUCACCUCUUCGGCAAAUGAAAUCUCACUUUGAUAGCUACCAUCCCUAGUGCAUUGUUCCCAUCUUUUCGAGGCCUCACAUUCUAGACGAUACAAGUCAUUAUGCAAAUUCUCCCUCAUCAGGACCAUGUCGCCUUGUGUGACUUUUACCACUCCAUCACAAGCAGAAUAUCCAUACCUUUUGGAGUCUAACAGGCUCAAUGAUAUUAGAUUCUUACGCAUCUUUGGGACAUAGGCCACACCAUCCAAAGAGCGCACAACCCCAUCAAACAUUUUGAUUUUCACCACUCCAAGACCCAUGAUCUUCACUAUUGACUUAUUACCCAAAGUCAAAUUCCCAGCCACCCCUUCUUGAAGUAAAUCAAAAUAAUCUUUUUGAUAACAUAUGUGAGUAGCAAAAGCAGAAUCUAAAUACCAAUCAGAAUUUGCAUCCAUAUUUUCUGAGAUUGUAAGGACAUCACAAUCAUCACCUUCAGCAACGAAAGCACACUCACCUUUAUUCUCAUUACUUUCAUCCCAUUUUGUAGGACAAUCCUUUUUAAUAUGCCUAUACCUUUUGCAUUUAAAGCAUUGAACAUUGUUAGAUCUAGACUUGUCACCCUUAGAUCCCUUACCAGUUGACUUCCUCCUAUUAGCCUCAAUUACCAAUGCCAAGCCAUUUGGAUCUCUAUCCCCUUCUUUACUUUUCUUUCGGGCUUCAUGAGACAUUAACGUUGUUUGUACUUGUUCUAACAUUAUUGUAUCGAUUUCACAUAUAAGAGAUUCCACAAAUACCUUAUAGGAGUCUGAAAGCGAAGCCAGGAGCAAUAGUGUCUUUUCCUCUUCCUCCACCUUGACAUCAACCUUCUUCAACUGAUCAAAGAUUCCAUCGAAUUCAUUCAUAUGCUUCAUGAGGUCUCCAUUCUCUUCCAUCUUUAAGCGAUACAACUUUCGCCUAAGCUGCAACUUGUUAGAAAGACUUUUCGCCAAGUAAAUUUUUUUUAACUUUGUCCAUAAUCUUGAAGUAGAAUCCUCAUCAAUAACAUGGUUAAACACAUUAUCUCCAAUGCAAAGUCGAAUAAUGCUCACACACCUUUGCUCCAACUCUGCCCAUUCAACAUCUUUCAUGUCAUCUGGUUGCCCUUCCUCUUUUCCUAGCAAAAGACGCAUUAAACCUUGCUGCACAAGGAGAUCUUUCAUCCUUCUCUACCACUGCGUGAAACUAGUCUUACCAUCAAACUUCUCAAUUGAAAAAUUCGUAGAACUAGUAACUUUCGACAUCCUUAUUGAAUCUUGAAUUUACAGAACCCGAAGCUCUGAUACCAGUUUGUUGUGGAAAUUACCCAAGAAUCAACAAAGAUAAAACCCAGAAAAAUUAAGUAAAUAGAAAAACACAAGAAUUUACGUGGUUCGGCCUCUUGCCUACGUCCACGGAGUGAAACUGUUCUUCUAUUAUUGAAAAUUUAAAGUACAAUAAAUUCAUCUUUAUGGUUCCUCAAACCAACUCAAGAUCCCUUGCACACUUUUCUUCAAUAACCUCCCAAGAACACUCACCCAAACCACUCUCGCUCCACCUAGAGCAAAAGACAGAAUUAUAAGGUGUUCCCUCUCUAGAGCUCUCAAAGCACUACUUGCAAUUCUAAAGCUUAGAAAUCUAUUUUUAUAGUAUAAAAGUAAAAAAUAGAAUGUAAUUAAGAUUCAAUGUGGAAUAAAAAAUUUAAAACUAUACAACUAUUUAAUAUUGUACACAAACAAAAAAUCUUAAUCAAAUAAGAUUUAGAAUUCUAGUUAAUCUAAAACUCAACAAAAUAUAUAUAUAUGUAUAUCUUCAUUAGAUAUGUAACAUUAAUUGGUAAACAAACUGGCUGAGAACUUUCUCUCUAAAAUCAAAUCAUGCAUGAAUAGAGAGGGUAGAAUCUUAGUAAAAAUACUAGUAUUAAUUUUGAAAUUAACUCAAACUCAAAGUAAUUGUUUAAAAGGGCAACCUGAAUGCGACGUGAUGUGUGCAGUCAUUACAGCUGGAAGAGAGGUAUGGGUUUGAAUCAGGUAAAGAAGCCAAAGAGGGGUGCUCCUACAUUUUUCUACUUUUUGUUUAUGAUCAGAAGAACCUGAGGUAACAUAUAAAUAUGCAUUGAUAAUCCAACUAGAUCUGCGGCUGUUGUUUGGACAACAAGAGAAAAGGGUAGCUCGGGAACUGAGCAUGCCACUGCCAUGGCCCCUCUCUUAUUAACUCUUUCAACCACGUUCAUUCAAAGUCUAUCCCUAAGCUGUCCUGUCACUGGUGACGGACCCUAUAAUCAACUCACCUCCAAUUGAACCAACUGCACAUGAUUUCUUCCUUACAAUGUCUAGAAAUUUCAUAAACAAUAAAAACAAAACGAAGUUAAUUUAAUAUAUUAUCAACAUUUAUCUAUAUAAAAGUUGAUUUUAUUCGAUUUUUUAUUGCCUCACACGUGUAUAUAGAUAACGAUUGCAUGAUGUGAUAUCAGGAUCACUAGCAGAGACCAUUGCUGCUAACUGAAACACACUAAGCAACUUGAAGAAAGUUGAUGCCAUGCCAUGAUUGGUAGCACUACACUUUUACGUGAAGCUGGUUGAGAAAAGAUUGUGUUUUUGCUUACACAAAUCUUCCUGGAGCAAGUACUUAUAGAGUAAUCAGCUGAGAAUUCUAUGUCAAAAUUGAGAAUAUCCUAUAUGAUCAAAUUCAUGGGCAACAAGAACACUGUAUUUUCC
RNAcentral lists this long non-coding RNA (5001 nucleotides) under Theobroma cacao (cacao). RNAcentral describes it as "long non-coding RNA (TCAC_LNC004201)". Lineage: Eukaryota; Viridiplantae; Streptophyta; Magnoliopsida; Malvales; Malvaceae. The record is from RNAcentral.